Molecule: ribosomal RNA, 464 nt
Filed under: Vreelandella stevensii
Lineage: Bacteria; Pseudomonadati; Pseudomonadota; Gammaproteobacteria; Oceanospirillales; Halomonadaceae
Description: partial 16S ribosomal RNA
Rfam family: Bacterial small subunit ribosomal RNA
Source: RNAcentral
CCUACGGGGGGCAGCAGUGGGGAAUAUUGGACAAUGGGCGAAAGCCUGAUCCAGCCAUGCCGCGUGUGUGAAGAAGGCCUUCGGGUUGUAAAGCACUUUCAGUGGGGAAGAAAGCCUUGGGGCUAAUACCCUCGAGGAAGGACAUCACCCACAGAAGAAGCACCGGCUAACUCCGUGCCAGCAGCCGCGGUAAUACGGAGGGUGCGAGCGUUAAUCGGAAUUACUGGGCGUAAAGCGCGCGUAGGCGGUCUGAUAAGCCGGUUGUGAAAGCCCCGGGCUCAACCUGGGAACGGCAUCCGGAACUGUCAGGCUAGAGUGCAGGAGAGGAAGGUAGAAUUCCCGGUGUAGCGGUGAAAUGCGUAGAGAUCGGGAGGAAUACCAGUGGCGAAGGCGGCCUUCUGGACUGACACUGACGCUGAGGUGCGAAAGCGUGGGUAGCAAACAGGAGUAGAUACCCGAGUAGU